UACGUAGGUGGCAAGCGUUGUCCGGAAUUAUUGGGCGUAAAGCGCGCGUAGGCGGCUUUGUAAGUUAGAGGUGAAAGCCCGGAGCUCAACUCCGGAACUGCCUUUAAGACUGCAUCGCUAGAACGUUGGAGAGGUGAGUGGAAUUCCGAGUGUAGAGGUGAAAUUCGUAGAUAUUCGGAGGAACACCAGUGGCGAAGGCGGCUCACUGGUCCAUUACUGACGCUGAGGUGCGAAAGCGUGGGGAGCAAACAGG
This 253-nucleotide ribosomal RNA is filed under the name uncultured bacterium. Its description in RNAcentral is "partial 16S ribosomal RNA". It matches the Rfam family "Bacterial small subunit ribosomal RNA", at positions 524 to 776 of the family's 1533-position model. The record is from RNAcentral.